Long non-coding RNA from Portunus trituberculatus (swimming crab), 1028 nucleotides. RefSeq lists it as uncharacterized. The transcript has 2 exons. The record is from RefSeq and is a predicted model, not a curated record. NCBI's taxonomy places the organism in Eukaryota, Metazoa, Arthropoda, Malacostraca, Decapoda, Portunidae.
UAAUGUAAAUCCCCCGUAAGUUUCUGAAGUUGUAUAAAAACACCAAAUAGUAACCAGAAUGAAUAUGAAAACGCGUCAUGGUACUGCAGGGGUUAUGAAGAUAAAAAGAGCGUCCAUGAUUGUGAAAUAUGAAAGCACUGAGAAAAAAGAAAAAAAAAAUAUUACGAGACGUGCGUUAGUUUUGGUUAUGGUGAGGGAAGGGACGAAGUGGUGUUGUGUGGCAUAGCAGAGUAGGGGUGAUGAAGGGGUCUUAUGGGAGAGGUGGUGUGGUAUGACUGGGAAGGCUGAUAAAGGAUACGAUGUUGAGGCAAAGAGGUGAUGUGGCGUGGUGUGGUGUGGCGUGGUAUAGCUGGGUGGGGUUGAUAAGAGGGUGGUGUUGGGUGGUGGUGAGAUAUAAGAGAGACAGUGAGGUGAGGGAAAUAGAAGGGGUGUGUGGGAUGUGCCGGUGGAAUGUGCGAGUGUGGAAGGAGAGUUCUGGUGGAGGCAAGGACUGGUGGUGGUGGUGGUGGUCAAGGAAAGGACGAAUGUAGGCAGGUUGGUCCCACCUCUCACACCACCACCACCACCACCACCAUGAGUCAUCCACCACCGCCUCCACAAGACGAGUCGCGAGUGUGUCAAUGAGCCAGGAAGGAGGAGGAGGAGGAGGGAGUGUUGUUGUCUCAUUACCUCUCCUUACCCUUUUCCACACUUCUUUCCCCACCAUCAACACCACCACCACAAAAGAAUCAACACUGCACCAAUAACAUCAUGCACCACCACCACCACCACCACCACCAGCCUUGCCACGCCACAAUGUCUAUCUUUCAACCUCCCCGGAGUCAGGAUGGUAUCAAAGACUGCCUCUCCUUUGUGUGAGGGACGCCAACCCUUGCUGGGGGGCAGGAGUCUGGAGACGACACAAAGGAACACAACGAAACAACAAACAAAAGGCUUAUUGACUUUUGUGAGGAUAUACCUAAUAAGCACCUGAUACCCACCACUAAUCUAAAUAAAUAAAUAAAAAUAAAUAAUAAACAUGAAAUUGA